UUUUUACCGCUAGAUGGUGUUUUUUAUGAAAAUCUGAUUGGCUUGCAAUUGCUUGAAAUAUACGUUACCAUGGAAACAAUGUGACCUUUUCUGUGAAUCAAAUUUGUUUAAAUCGUUCAUAUUUACUUUUAUUUAUUCUGUUAUGAUUCCGUUUGUUGGUUUAAGGCUGAAUUAUUCUGGUUUUGUCAAGUGACUUGUCGAAUUGGCUUUCAAAAGGCUUCAGAAAUUAUUGACUCUGAUGCUAAGGAUUAUCAAUCAACUUCAACAGGAGGCGGUGGCAGCUAUCUCCACUUCCAGCAUGGUAUCAGUCACAAUAAAAGCAAUCGAGUUAUCAAUUUGA
This is a long non-coding RNA of Tetranychus urticae (two-spotted spider mite), 340 nucleotides long. RefSeq lists it as uncharacterized. The record is from RefSeq and is a predicted model, not a curated record. NCBI's taxonomy places the organism in Eukaryota, Metazoa, Arthropoda, Arachnida, Trombidiformes, Tetranychidae.